RNAcentral lists this ribosomal RNA (252 nucleotides) under uncultured bacterium. Its description in RNAcentral is "partial 16S ribosomal RNA". It matches the Rfam family "Bacterial small subunit ribosomal RNA", at positions 524 to 776 of the family's 1533-position model. The record is from RNAcentral.
UACGUAGGUCCCGAGCGUUGUCCGGAUUUAUUGGGCGUAAAGCGAGCGCAGGUGGUUUAUUAAGUCUGGUGUAAAAGGCAGUGGCUCAACCAUUGUAUGCAUUGGAAACUGGUAGACUUGAGUGCAGGAGAGGCAAGCGGAAUUCCUAGUGUAGCGGUGAAAUGCGUAGAUAUUAGGAAGAACACCAGUGGCGAAGGCGGCUUGCUGGACAGUAACUGACGUUGAGGCUCGAAAGCGUGGGGAGCAAACAGG